This 433-nucleotide ribosomal RNA is filed under the name uncultured bacterium. Its description in RNAcentral is "bacterial SSU rRNA". It matches the Rfam family "Bacterial small subunit ribosomal RNA", at positions 376 to 803 of the family's 1533-position model. The record is from RNAcentral.
CGAAAGGGUGAGGGAGCGACGCCACGUGGAGGAUGAAGUCCUUCGGGAUGUAAACUCCUGUUAGGGUUACGAAAGCGAUGCGCGUGAAUAAUGCGCAAAGUUGAUCUAGCCCAAAGAAAGGGGCGGCUAACUCUGUGCCAGCAGCCGCGGUAAUACAGAGGCCCCAAGCGUUACUGAGAAUCACUGGGUUUAAAGGGUGCGUAGGCGGUGGUUCAAGUCAGAUGUGAAAUGCCUGAGCUCAACUGAGGCAUUGCGUUUGAAACUGGAUCGCUUGAGUAUCCCAGGGGUGUGCGGAACUGCCAGUGGAGCAGUGAAAUGUGUUGAUAUUGGCAGGAACGCCUGCGGCGAAAGCGAGUCUCUGGUCCCAUACUGACGCUGAGACGCGAAAGCCAGGGGAGCAAACGGGAUUAGAUACCCCGGUAGUCCUGGCUGU